GUAGGUGAACCUGCGGAAGGAUCAUUAAUGAAACUUGGAGAUUCUGAUGCUGGCGUUUAUUCGCAUGUGCUCGGUCUCCUUAAUCCAUUCAACACCUGUGCACCUUUGUGAAGGAGGACGAAAGUCCACCUUCAUUUAUAUACAAACUCUUUAUUGAAAUCUGAAUGUUCAUUGGCCGAAAGGCUCUAAAAUAAAACAACUUUUAACAACGGAUCUCUUGGCUCUC
RNAcentral lists this unclassified non-coding RNA (226 nucleotides) under rhizosphere metagenome. RNAcentral's name for it is "partial ribosomal RNA internal transcribed spacer region". The record is from RNAcentral.